AUAACUCGGUCUCAAAAUAAAUAAAUACAUACAUACAUAGAUGAAAAUUAAAAAAAUAAAGUACAACUCAGUGGUUUUCAGCAUAUUUACAGAGUUGUACAAUCUUCACCACUAUCUAAUUUCAGAACAUUUUCAUCACCCCCAAAAGAAACCUCACCCAUUGACUAGCUCUCCAUUCCUCCCUCUCCCUAGCCUCUGGCAACCACUCAUCUCUUUUCUGUCUCUCUAGAUUUGCCUAUUUUGGACAGUUCAUAUAAAAGGAAUCAUACCACAUGUAGCCUUUUGUGUCUGGCUUCUUUGAUUAAUAGAAUGUUUUCAAGGCUCAUCUAUGUUGUAGCCUGUAUCAGCACUUCAUUCCUUUCUAUGGCUGAAUAAUAGUCCACUGUAUGGAUGUGCCAUAUUUUUCCACUAGUUGAUGGACAUUUGAGUUGUUUCCACCUUUUGGCUAUUAUAAAUAUUGCUGCCAUAAAUAUUCACUUACAAGUUUUUGUGUGGACAUGUUUUUAUUUCUUUUGGUAUAUCCUUAGGAGUGGAACUGCUGGAUCAUACGGUAACUCUAUGUUUAACCUGGCAGUUACCAAACAGAAUCCUAUGCAUGCUGUAGUCCAUGAGUUAAAAUAAACACUUGACCCUUAGUAAGUGCCAAAUCAUCUUCAUUUCACAGCAACCUGUAAUUUCACAGAUGAGGACAUGAAGGCUCCCAGAGGUGAACUGGCUUUUCCCAUUUGACCAGUUCCAAGUCAGACAGUUAAAAAGUGGCAGGACCUGGAAGAGAAGCUAGUUCUUUCACCCUGGCAUUCAGGGCUGCCUCCUGGGCUACGGGGCUGGCAUUUAGAAUAGAGGAAGCAGAGCUAAGGUCUGCUGCCAAGGCAGGUGCCCCAGUCUUCCUCCUCUGUGUCCUUAUUCCACUUUCUCUGCAGCCCUCCAGGGGACCCCUCUGUCAGCCACCCUCUCUCUGGUGAUGUCACAGUGCUGCCGGAAGAUCAAAGAUACGGUGCAGAAACUGGCUUCGGACCAUAAGGACAUUCACAGCAGUGUAUCCCGAGUGGGCAAAGCCAUUGACAGGGUGAGCAUGUGGCCAGCUCCAGGCCUGGGGUGGGAGUACCCUGAAGCUGGGAUGUACAAGGACUCGAAGGACAGCCAGCAAGAGUGCCCGCAUCACCAGGCCCUGUCUCUCCUCCUCCGUCAGAACUUCGACUCUGAGAUCUGUGGUGUUGUGUCAGAUGCGGUGUGGGAUGCGCGGGAACAGCAGCAGCAGAUCCUGCAGAUGGCCAUCGUGGAACACCUGUACCAGCAGGGCAUGCUCAGCGUGGCCGAGGAGCUGUGCCAGGAAUCAACGCUGAAUGUGGACUUGGAUUUCAAGCAGCCUUUCCUAGAGUUGAAUCGAAUCCUGGAAGCCCUGCACGAACAAGACCUGGGUCCUGCGUUGGAGUAAGGAGGCCCUUGGGUGGGCCAGCAGCACUCUGCUCCGACCUCUCAGGGCACAGGGCUUGACUGUGGUCUUCAGUUCACCCAGAUGUACUUGACUUGCCUCCAGCCCUGUCUCAAGAGCCUCACACAGGCUUUUGGGGCCCUCCUCUCAGGUCCUGGCUCUCAGGUCCUAGCCCCCACCAGCUCUACACUAAACUGGCCCCUUUCUUCCCAGAUGGGCCGUCUCCCACAGGCAGCGCCUGCUGGAACUCAACAGCUCCCUGGAGUUCAAGCUGCACCGACUGCACUUCAUCCGCCUCCUGGCAGGAGGCCCCGAGAAGCAGCUGGAGGCCCUCAGCUAUGCUCGGCACUUCCAGCCCUUUGCUCGGCUGCACCAGCGGGAGAUCCAGGUGAUGAUGGGCAGCCUGGUGUACCUGCGGCUAGGCUUGGAGAAGUCACCCUACUGCCACCUGCUGGACAACAGCCACUGGGCGGAGAUCUGUGAGACCUUUACCCGGGACGCCUGUUCCCUGCUGGGGCUUUCUGUGGAGUCCCCGCUUAGCGUCAGCUUUGCCUCUGGCUGUGUGGCGCUGCCCGUGUUGAUGAACAUCAAGGCUGUGAUUGAGCAGAGGCAGUGCACUGGGGUCUGGAGUCACAAGGACGAGUUGCCGAUUGAGAUUGAACUAGGCAUGAAGUGCUGGUACCACUCCGUGUUCGCUUGCCCCAUCCUCCGCCAGCAGACGUCAGAUUCCAACCCUCCCAUCAAGCUCAUCUGCGGCCAUGUUAUCUCCCGAGAUGCACUCAAUAAGCUCAUUAAUGGAGGAAAGCUGAAGUGUCCCUACUGUCCCAUGGAGCAGAACCCGGCAGAUGGGAAACGCAUCAUAUUCUGAUUCCUACCUGGAAGGAAUUUUGUUGAAAGGGGUUUUCACCUGUGAGCCUUGGUCUGUCUCAGUAGGGUGGUCAGCUUCAGUGGACUGUGGUUGGUUUCAGAGCGCCUGGCUGAGGAGUUCCGCUGAGGGGAGGGCUGGAGCAGCCCUUUGGCAGAGGCUGAGGAGGGAGAUGGACCAGCCCACACCUGGCAGCUGGCUCCAUGGCAUAAGGAAAGGGAGAUACUGGCCUCUGUGCUCCUGCUGUCUCUUCCUGUUCUGUUUGCCUUUGACUUAGUAGCAACCGACAGAGUGGCAAGGGAUUUGGUCUUCAGCAGUAGACAUCCUUCCACCCCUGCCCUCAGCCAAGUCUCUUGCUGCCAUGCCAAUGCUAUGUCCACCCUUGCCCCUCGGCCCAAGGGUGUCCAGUGGUGGCCCACCUCUUCCUCCCACUACAGCCUCAACAGUACGUACCAUCUCCCACUGUAAAUAGUCCCAGUUAGAAUGGAAUGACGUUGUUUUAUAACUUUGAACAAAUGUAUUUGCUGCCCUUCUCACUUCUCCUGGCCAACCUUUAGCCUCCCUGACAAAUUAUGACCACGUGUCUACCACACACAGGGGCUGGCACGGCCUGGGGGCUGCUGCAGACAAAAACACGGCCAGCAGGUAUCCAGUGUCCAGGCAGGAAGAACCCAGCUUGACUGCGGGGAGCUUAGAUGGCAGACCCCGGGCAAGGUGCUUUUACAUAUACCCAUACCAGAUCUUACUACCUCCAUAGGAGAAAUCCGUGUAAUGGGAUUCAGGAAAAUGAAGUAACUUGCACAACAGGGCUCACAGCUUAGAAAGGAGAGAGCUUGGGGUUUUAACCAGAUCUGACCCUCAAGCCCAAGCUAUUUCCAGUUUAUUCCAGGGUGCCUGAACUUGGCUGUUAUGUAUACUGAGUCCCGUGCAGGGCCUCUGACAGCAGGAAGGGGCCCCAAGUCUAAAAUAUUUGAAGGGAUUGGGUUACUAGGGCCAUUAUGUUAAGCAAGAGAGAGCUCGGGGGGAUGCAUUUUAGCUUCAUAUUCCUAUUUAAAAUUUGCUGUGUGGGUGGGUAAAUUGCUUCCAUAAGCUUCACAGUGGUAUUUAAGGCUCCUGGGGUAAGUUAGGAAUGGGGGUGUUCCUGAUGUGGGGGCUUUAGGCUUCCGUGAAGUGGGUCUGGGCCCCCUACCUUACCUCACAGCCUCAGUCUACCCUGGAAGAGGGAGUUGAAAAUGCUGGGAUAACAGCAAGAUCAGUUCUCAGCUUGAGCCAAAGCACCCGGCCCUGGGCAGCUGAGCAUUAGCACAGAACCCUCUGAGUCCUUCGGGCUCUCUGGUGAGGAAGACUGCUUCACUCUUCCCGCACACCAACUCCUUGGCCCAACCAGCAGCUACUGCUUAAGAAAACACCCACAGACUCACCACAUUUUAGUCUUAGCAUUUACUUUCCCCACCCCACAUUCUUGGAACAGCCUUUAGUUCUACAGGAAAUGGCACUGAUGGACAGAAGACUGGCAUUACUUUCAUGAAAGGGCUGUUAGAGCUGCCUGGGAAGAAGGCGUGCCUUGGGGAACAGGAAAGAUGCUGUCACUGUGGGUGGGCAGGAGGACAGCCAGUCUUCCUGCCGCCAACCCAGUAGCUUCCAGCGGCAGGUGCCCAGGUGCUACCAGAGCCCCUCAUAGGGGUAGGGGCAGGGACUGCACCUCCUCCAGGCACUCGUCGUAAGCCUCCUGGUACUCGUCGUGGGGCUUGACCAUUAUCACACAGGUGGGGCGCUUGGAGCCUGCGGCUGCACCCAGGUCCUAUAGAGGGGAAAGAAGUGCUGUUUGGAAAAAAGGCUGUACAACCUGUAUGCCAGGAAGUCACCAACUGAUGACCCACCAGCCUAAUCUGGCCUACAACCAUGUUCUAUUCGGUCCAUGUUCUAUUUAAAAGCAUCUUGAAUUGGUUGCCAUC
Molecule: small RNA, 4252 nt
Filed under: Pongo abelii (Sumatran orangutan)
Lineage: Eukaryota; Metazoa; Chordata; Mammalia; Primates; Hominidae
Description: retained intron
Source: RNAcentral